AAUUUUUUACCAGCAAGACAAUAUUUGGGCUGAAUUACUCACCAGCAAAACAAUAUGUGUUCCAGUUGUUCAUGGUCAAAUUACUUACCAGUGAGACAAUAUGAGUUCUUGUGAUUCAUCACCAAAUUACUUACCAGUGAGACAAUAUGAGUUCUUGUGGUUCAUCACCAAAUUACUUACCAGUGAGACAAUAUGAGUUCUUGUGAUUCAUCACCAAAUUACUUACCAGUGAGACAAUAUGAGUUCUUGUGGUUCAUCACCAAAUUACUUACCAGUGAGACAAUAUGAGUUCUUGUGAUUCAUCACCAAACUAGAUAUCAUUGAGAUGGGAGCCAUCUCUGUGGGCCCCGCUGUCAAUAACGUGGGGUAAAUAAGUUG
Molecule: long non-coding RNA, 378 nt
Filed under: Mytilus galloprovincialis (Mediterranean mussel)
Lineage: Eukaryota; Metazoa; Mollusca; Bivalvia; Mytilida; Mytilidae
Source: RNAcentral